Molecule: ribosomal RNA, 253 nt
Filed under: uncultured bacterium
Lineage: Bacteria
Description: partial 16S ribosomal RNA
Rfam family: Bacterial small subunit ribosomal RNA
Source: RNAcentral
UACGGAGGGUGCAAGCGUUGUCCGGAUUUAUUGGGGUUAAAGGGUGCGUAGGCGGCCCUGUAAGUCAGUGGUGAAAUACUGCAGCUUAACUGUAGCAUUGCCAUUGAUACUGUAGGGCUUGAGUACAGAUGAGGUAGGCGGAAUUGAUGGUGUAGCGGUGAAAUGCAUAGAUACCAUCAAGAACACCGAUUGCGAAGGCAGCUUACUAAGCUGUAACUGACGCUGAGGCACGAAAGCGUGGGGAUCGAACAGG